Molecule: ribosomal RNA, 714 nt
Filed under: uncultured bacterium
Lineage: Bacteria
Description: bacterial SSU rRNA
Rfam family: Bacterial small subunit ribosomal RNA
Source: RNAcentral
AGCGGGAAGUAGUUUACUACUUUGCCGGCGAGCGGCGGACGGGUGAGUAAUGUCUGGGAAACUGCCUGAUGGAGGGGGAUAACUACUGGAAACGGUAGCUAAUACCGCAUAACGUCUUCGGACCAAAGUGGGGGACCUUCGGGCCUCACGCCAUCGGAUGUGCCCAGAUGGGAUUAGCUAGUAGGUGGGGUAAUGGCUCACCUAGGCGACGAUCCCUAGCUGGUCUGAGAGGAUGACCAGCCACACUGGAACUGAGACACGGUCCAGACUCCUACGGGAGGCAGCAGUGGGGAAUGUUGCACAAUGGGCGCAAGCCUGAUGCAGCCAUGCCGCGUGUGUGAAGAAGGCCUUCGGGUUGUAAAGCACUUUCAGCGAGGAGGAAGGCCAAUAACUUAAUACGUUGUUGGAUUGACGUUACUCGCAGAAGAAGCACCGGCUAACUCCGUGCCAGCAGCCGCGGUAAUACGGAGGGUGCAAGCGUUAAUCGGAAUUACCGGGCGUAAAGCGCACGCAGGCGGUUUGUUAAGUCAGAUGUGAAAUCCCCGCGCUUAACGUGGGAACUGCAUUUGAAACUGGCAAGCUAGAGUCUUGUAGAGGGGGGUAGAAUUCCAGGUGUAGCGGUGAAAUGCGUAGAGAUCUGGAGGAAUACCGGUGGCGAAGGCGGCCCCCUGGACAAAGACUGACGCUCAGGUGCGAAAGCGUGGGGAGCAAACA